ACACGACUACAUUAGACUACCCCUGUAGUCCUAGCCGUAAACGAUACUCGCUAGGUGUCGGCCACGGUACGACCGUUGUCGGUGCCGUAGGGAAGCCGUGAAGCGAGCCACCUGGGAAGUACGGCCGCAAGGCUGAAACUUAAAGGAAUUGGCGGGGAGCACCACAACGGGUGGAGCCUGCGGUUUAAUUGGAUUCAACGCCGGGAAGCUCACCGGAUAAGACAGCUGAAUGAUUGUCAAUCUGAAGGUUUUACAUGACUAGCUG
Molecule: ribosomal RNA, 265 nt
Filed under: uncultured archaeon
Lineage: Archaea
Description: partial 16S ribosomal RNA
Rfam family: Archaeal small subunit ribosomal RNA
Source: RNAcentral